GGGUAGAAUAUGAUGCUUUCUCUUUGAAAAUAGGACACAGUGAAACAUAGGGUAGAAUAUGAUCCUUUCUUUUUGAAAAUAGGACACAGUGAAACAUAAGGUAAAAUAUGAUGCUUUUUGAAAAUAGGACACAGUGAAACAUGGGGUACAAUAUGACCACAAAGCUUCCAUUUUGAAAAUAGGACACAGUGAAACAUGGGGUAAAAUGUGACGACAGAGCUUUCUUUUUGAAAAUAGGACAUUGUGAAA
Long non-coding RNA from Macrobrachium nipponense, 249 nucleotides. RefSeq lists it as uncharacterized. The record is from RefSeq and is a predicted model, not a curated record. The transcript is spliced from 2 exons. Lineage: Eukaryota; Metazoa; Arthropoda; Malacostraca; Decapoda; Palaemonidae.